RNAcentral lists this ribosomal RNA (163 nucleotides) under Paspalum acuminatum. RNAcentral describes it as "5.8S ribosomal RNA". The stretch from base 1 to 108 matches the Rfam family "5.8S ribosomal RNA", at positions 49 to 154 of the family's 154-position model. Rfam says of the family: 5.8S ribosomal RNA (5.8S rRNA) is a component of the large subunit of the eukaryotic ribosome. Lineage: Eukaryota; Viridiplantae; Streptophyta; Magnoliopsida; Poales; Poaceae. The record is from RNAcentral.
CAAAAUGCGAUACCUGGUGUGAAUUGCAGAAUCCCGCGAACCAUCGAGUUUUUGAACGCAAGUUGCGCCCGAGGCCUUCUGGCUGAGGGCACGCCUGCCUGGGCGUCACGCCAAAAGACACUUCCANNCCCAUCACUGGGUGUGGACGUGGAGUUUGGCCUCU